GCCAGACUUCAAAGUAUAUAUUUGCACAAGCUCUCCGGAGACUGUCGCCUUCAGCACCGCCCGAGGCGGGCCAGUUUCCAUUGAAAUCUGAAGAAUUACGUCUGCAGACAAGUUCACGGUGUCGUCUUAGGGAGAUACUUCUGAGUUCCACUAGAGGGCAGCAGAAAAUGGGAGAGGAGAAGCCCUCCGUGAGUUCCCAUCAACUCAGCCCUCGCUGGACACCAGGCCUGCUAGAGACCAAAAGGUCAAAGCACCUAGAUCCACCAGCGGGGAUGAAACUCUGACGUGAUAACAGACACAAACUCAGCUUGGAAACAGCACCUGUGGCCCAGCCCAACGUUCAGGAACAUGAAGAAGUUAAUGAAUGGAUGCACAGUCCUAGGCUCCGUCUUCCUCAGCACCCUCUCCAGUUCACCACCCAAUCUCUUAGUUCCUUUGUAAAGGCUUAUCUGUAUUCUGUGAAGGUGUGCAUGCUUGCCUGUGAAUAUGUGCAUGUGAGUGCAGAACCCAGAGGCAUCGGAACCUGGAGCUGGAGUUAUGGACAGCUGUGAGCAUCUGACAGUGCCAGGGACUGAACUCAGGUCCUCUGGAAGAGCAGCAAACCACUGACUUAUCUCUGCAGCUCCAACACAUCUCCACAUCCGACUUCCUAUCUGCUACAUGGACACUAAAGCCCUCAUGGACAGUUUCCUCCGCGCUGAGAAUCAAGCCCAGAGCUCCGUGUGUCAGCUCCCACUGGUGAUGUCUCAGCCCUCACUCUCAUCUGAAUGACCAGCUUGGAACAGCCUCCUGGGUUUUUCAUAAUGCCUUCCACCACCCCUCCCCUCCAGUCGACCCAUUCCAUCAGUAACCACUUUAAAAGGCAAAAGAAAAGUGACUGAGUAGUAGUAGCAUAAACUGGUGGAUCUCAGUAAGCUCUGGGUUAGCCUCGUCUACCUAGUGAGUUCUAAGCUAGCCAGAGCUACUUAAUGAAAGCCUGUCUAAAAGAUUAAAAAGUGUUUCAUUAGAUGCUGAGAAAGCAUUUGACAAAAUUCAACACUGCUUCAUGAUAAGAGUCCUGGAAAGAACAGGACUUCAAGGCCCAUAUGCAAACAUAGUAAAAGACAUGUACAGUUAACCAGUAGCUAACAUUAAACUAGAUGGAGAGAAACUCGAAGUAAUCCCACUAAAAUCAGGGACUAGACAAGUGUGCCCACUCUCUCCCUACUUAUUUAAUAUAGUUCUCGAAGUCCUAGCCAGAGCAAUCAGACAGAUCAAAGGGAUACAGAUUGGAAAGGAAGAAGUCAAAAUAUCACUAUUUGCAGAUGAUAUGAUUUAUAUUUAAGUGACCCCAAAAGUUCCACCAGAGAACUACUAAACCUGAUAAACACCUUCAGCAAAGUGGCUGGGUAUAAAAUUAACUCAAAUAAAUCAGUAGCCUUUGUCUACACAAAAGAGAAACAAGCUGAGAAAGAAAUUAGGGAAACGAUGCCCUUCAUAAUAGACCCAAAUAACAUAAAAUACCUCAGUGUGACUUUAACCAAGCAAGGGAAAGAUCUGUAUGAUAAGAACUUCAAGCCUCUGAAAAAAGAAAUUGAAGAAGAUCUCAGAAGACGGAAAGAUCACCCAUGCUCAUGGAUUGGCAGGAUUAAUAUAGUAAAAAUGACCAUUUUACCAAAAGCAAUCUACAGAUUCAAUGCAAUCCCCAUCAAAAUUCCAACCCAAUUCUUCAUAGAGUUAGAUGGAACAAUUUGCAAAUUCAUCUGGAAUAACAAAAAACCCAGGAUAGCUAAAACAAUCCUCAACAAUAAAAGGACUUCCGGGGGAAUCACUAUCCCUGAACUCAAGCAGUAUUACAGAGCAAUAGUGAUAAAAACUGUAUGGUAUUGGUACAGAGACAGGCAGAUAGACCAGUGGAAUAGAAUCAAAGACCCAGAAAUGAACCCACACACCUAUGGGCACUUGAUUUUUGACAAAGGAGCCAAAACCAUCCAAUGGAAAGAAGAUAGCAUUUUCAGCAAAUGGUGCUGGUUCAACUGGAGGUCAGCAUGUAGGAGAAUGCAGAUGGAUCCAUUCUUGUCACCCUGUACAAAGCUUAAGUCCAAGUGGAUCAAGGACCUCUACAUCAAACCAGAUACACUCAAAAUAAUAGAAGAAAAAGUGGGGAAGAAUCUCAAACACAUGGGCACUGGAGAAAAUUUCCUGAACAAAACACCAAUGGCUUAUGCUCUAAGAUCAAGAAUCGAUCUUGGGGUUGGGGAUUUAGCUCAGUGGUAGAGCGCUUGCCUAGCAACCGCAAGGCCCUGGGUUCGGUCCCCAGCUCCAAAAAAAAGAAAAAAGAAAAAAAAAGAAUCAAUCUUAUGGAAUCUCAUAAAACUACAAAGCUUCUGUAAGGCAAAGGACACUGUUGUUAGGUUAAAAUGGCAACUGACAGAUUGGGAAAGAUCUUUACCAAUCCUACAACAGAUAGAGGACUUAUAGCCAAAAUAUACAAAAAACUCACGAAGUUAGAUUGCAGGGAGACAAAUAAAUAACCUUAUUAAAAAAUGGAGGGGUUGGGGAUUUAGCUCAGUGGUAGAGCGCUUGCCUAGCAAGCGCAAGGCCCUGGGUUUGGUCCCCAGCUCCGAAAAAAAGAAAAAAGAAAAAAAAAUGGAGUUCAGAGCUAAACAAAGAAUUCACAGCUGAGGAAUGCCGAAUGUCUGAGAAACACCUAAAGAAAUGUUCAACAUCUUUAGUCAUAAGGGAAAUGCAAAUCAAAACAACCCUGAGAUUCCACCUCACACCAGUCAGAAUGGCUAAGAUCAAAAACUCCGACAACAGCAGAUGCUGGCGAGGAUGUGGAGAAAGAGGAACACUCCUCCAUUGUUGGUGGGAUUGCAGACUGGUACAACCAUUCUGGAAAUCAGUCUGGAGGUUCCUCAGAAAAUUGGACAUUGAACUACCUGAGGACCCAGCAGCUAUACUUCUCUUGGGCAUAUACCCAAAAGAUGCUCCAACAUACAACAAAGACACAUGCUCCACUAUGUUCAUAGCAGCCUUACUUAUAAUAGCCAGAAGCUGGAAAGAACCCAGAUGCCCUUCAACAGAGGAAUGGAUACAGAAAAUAUGGUACAUCUACACAAUGGACUACUACUCAGCUAUCAAAACCAAUGACUUUAUAAAAUUCAUAGGCAAAUAUAUAGAACUGGAAAAUAUCAUCCUGAGUGAGGUAACCCAAUCACAGAAAAACACACAUGGUAUGCACUCAUUGAUAAGUGGAUAUUAGCCCGAAUGCUUGAAUUACCCAAGAUGCACAGAACACAUGAAACUCAAGAAGGAUGACCAAAAUGUGGAUGCUUCUCUCCUUCUUUAAAAGAAUACCCUUAGGAGAAGAUAGGGAGGCAAAGUUUAGAACAGAAACUGAAGGAACGCCCAUUCAGAGCCUGCCCCACAUGUGGCCCAUACGUAUACAGCCACCAAACUAGAUAAGAUGGAUGAAGCAAAGAGGUUCAGGCUGACAGGAACCGGAUGUAGAUCUCUCCUGAGAGACACAGCCAGAGUAUGGCAAAUACAUAGGUGAAUGCCAGCAGCAAACCACUGAACUGAGAGCGGGACCCCCAUUGAAAGAAUCAGAGAAAGGACUGAAAGAGCUGAAGGGGCUUGAGACCCCAUAUGAACAACAAUGCCAACCAACCAGAGCUUCCAGGGACUAAGCCACUACCCAAAGACUAUAUGGACUGACCCUGGGCUCCAAAUUCAUAGGUAGCAAUGAAUAGCCUAGUAGGGAUACCAGUGGAAGGGGAAGCCCUUGGCCCUGCCAAGGCUGGACCCUCAGUGAACGGGAUUGUUCGGGGGAGGGCAUGAAUGGGGGGAAGAUGGGGAGGGGAACACCCACAUUCUUAGAAGGGGAUCGAGAAGGGUUAUGGGGAUGUUGGCCUGGAAACCAGGAAAGGGAACAAUAUUUGAAAUGUAAAUAAGAAAUACCGAAUUUAAUAAAGAUGGAGAGGAAAAAAAUAAAAAGUGAUUGAUGUGGUUUUGGCAUUGGCUCAGUAUCUAGCCUGGUGGAGUCUUUCUCUGGCCCUAAUUCUGCUGUGUGGCUCUGAGCAUGUUCCCUCAUUCUCUGUGCUACAUUCCCACAUCUGUAAAUGGGGUUGAGUGCAGGAGCACAAGGCUUGACUAAGACAGUGGCUGUU
Non-coding RNA from Rattus norvegicus (Norway rat), 4151 nucleotides. The record is from RefSeq and is a predicted model, not a curated record. NCBI's taxonomy places the organism in Eukaryota, Metazoa, Chordata, Mammalia, Rodentia, Muridae.